GUGAAUCAUCGAAUCUUUGAACGCACAUUGCACUCUCUGGUAUUCCGGAGAGUAUGCCUGUUUGAGGGUCAGUUUAAAUAAAAAUCGGUGUGGUUGCUGCCUUUCUUGGUGACGCACCGGGUUUGGAUCGUCUUGCCUUCGGUUAAGUGACGUCAAAUUUUUCAUGAUUUUUUUCGCACGUAUUUAAAUUAUUUUACGUUCGUUUGCGAUAUCAAUUAGUAGG
Molecule: unclassified non-coding RNA, 223 nt
Filed under: Glomeraceae sp.
Lineage: Eukaryota; Fungi; Glomeromycota; Glomeromycetes; Glomerales; Glomeraceae
Description: partial contains 5.8S ribosomal RNA and internal transcribed spacer 2
Rfam family: 5.8S ribosomal RNA (bases 1-71)
Source: RNAcentral